This 524-nucleotide ribosomal RNA is filed under the name uncultured bacterium. RNAcentral's name for it is "bacterial SSU rRNA". It matches the Rfam family "Bacterial small subunit ribosomal RNA", at positions 371 to 885 of the family's 1533-position model. The record is from RNAcentral.
AUGGACGCAAGUCUGACAGGAGCAACGCCGCGUGAGUGAAGAAGGCCUUCGGGUUGUAAAGCUCUGUCUUUGGGGACGAACGUGCCUAUUAUAAAUAAUGAUAGGUAAUGACGGUACCUAAGGAGGAAGCCACGGCUAACUACGUGCUAGCAGCCGCGGUAAUACGUAGGUGGCAAGCGUUGUCCGGAAUUAUUGGGCGUAAAGCGCGCGCAGGCGGGAUAUCAAGUCUAUCUUAAAAGUUCGGGGCUCAACCCCGUGAUGGGAUGGAAACUGGUAUUCUUGAGUGUCGGAGAGGAAAGUGGAAUUCCCAGUGUAGCGGUGAAAUGCGUAGAUAUUGGGAGGAACACCAGUGGCGAAGGCGACUUUCUGGACGAUGUCUGACGCUGAGGCGCGAAAGCCAGGGGAGUGAACGGGAUUAGAUACCCCGGUAAUCCUGGCCGUAAACGAUGGGUACUAGGUGUAGAGGGUAUCGACCCCUUCUGUGCCGGAGUUAACGCAAUAAGUACCCCGCCUGGGGAGUACGG